Long non-coding RNA from Magnolia sinica, 785 nucleotides. RefSeq lists it as uncharacterized. Lineage: Eukaryota; Viridiplantae; Streptophyta; Magnoliopsida; Magnoliales; Magnoliaceae. The record is from RefSeq and is a predicted model, not a curated record. The transcript is spliced from 2 exons.
GCAGAAGUUGAAAGAUCCUGUGACAAGCGACUUGACCAUUGCUUCCAGCAAGAUCAGAGCAGCUAGGAGACAGAAAGCUCCCGAAGCAGUUGACAAUGCAGAACGCCCGAGAACAUAUUGAGGGUUAGAGCAACUGAUUAGUGGUGGGAACAAUUAAAGCUGAGCAACCUAAAAUAACAAGCAGAAUUAGCAUGAGAAACAUGAUUGUGGCGUGUUCGGGUAUGAAAACAUAAAUCACACCAGUACCCAUUUGGAUUCCAAUGUUGACAAUUACAGUAAUGACGAGAAUGCACAGCGCAAUGAAGUUUGCAAACAUCUCGGACACUUACAUUGCUCCUAAAGAAGGCAUGAAAUUGCCCAUCACAGUGCAGAAGAGGAUGGUGCCACUAAGCUUGGUCAGCUGAUCCUGGCAGCGGGGCAUGGGCGUAUUGAGAUCGACGGGUAUUUUUGUGGCGAUGGCUAUAAGGGCCAAGGAAGUAGCGUUCAGUGAGAAGGUUCUAUUUGGGAACCAAAGCUUCUUGUGAUGGAAAGCACGAAAGGCAUCGUAGGCCAUGGCAAGGGUGCAUGCCAGAGAGGCUGCUGCUAUAUAGAGCCCGAUCCAUGGCAAUGGCUCACUGAAUUUGGAGUCGUCUAGGUGGCCGUUGCUGCUGCACCCAUGCAACCCCAUCUCUUCUACUACCUCAUUCUUCUUCACUCUGCUUCUAUGUUAAGAAGGAUUCGUGUUUAGUCAACACUUGUAACUGUUUAUUUAUUUAUUUUUUAAUAUAUAUUUGUUGUCUAUUGAA